This 932-nucleotide ribosomal RNA is filed under the name uncultured bacterium. Its description in RNAcentral is "bacterial SSU rRNA". It matches the Rfam family "Bacterial small subunit ribosomal RNA", at positions 371 to 1317 of the family's 1533-position model. The record is from RNAcentral.
AANGGCGAANCCUGAUGCAGCANCGCCGCGUGCGGGAUGACGGCCUUCGGGUUGUAAACCGCUUUCAGCUCCGACGAAGCGCAAGUGACGGUAGGAGCAGAAGAAGGACCGGCCAACUACGUGCCAGCAGCCGCGGUGAUACGUAGGGUCCGAGCGUUGUCCGGAAUUAUUGGGCGUAAAGGGCUUGUAGGCGGUUUGUCACGUCGGAAGUGAAAACUCAGGGCUCAACCCUGAGCCUGCUUCCGAUACGGGCAAACUAGAGGAAUGCAGGGGAGAAUGGAAUUCCUGGUGGAGCGGUGGAAUGCGCAGAUAUCAGGAGGAACACCAGUGGCGAAGGCGGUUCUCUGGGCAUUUCCUGACGCUGAGAAGCGAAAGCGUGGGGAGCAAACAGGCUUAGAUACCCUGGUAGUCCACGCCGUAAACGGUGGGCACUAGGUGUGGGACUCAUUCCACGAGUUCCGUGCCGUAGCUAACGCAUUAAGUGCCCCGCCUGGGGAGUACGGCCGCAAGGCUAAAACUCAAAGGAAUUGACGGGGGCCCGCACAAGCGGCGGAGCAUGCGGAUUAAUUCGAUGCAACGCGAAGAACCUUACCUGGGUUUGACAUAUGCCGGAAAGCUGCAGAGAUGUAGCCCCCGCAAGGUCGGUAUACAGGUGGUGCAUGGCUGUCGUCAGCUCGUGUCGUGAGAUGUUGGGUUAAGUCCCGCAACGAGCGCAACCCUCGUCCUAUGUUGCCAGCGGGUAAUGCCGGGGACUCAUAGGAGACUGCCGGGGUCAACUCGGAGGAAGGUGGGGAUGACGUCAAGUCAUCAUGCCCCUUAAGUCCAGGGCUUCACGCAUGCUACAAUGGCUGGUACAAAGGGCUGCAAUACCGCAAGGUUGAGCGAAUCCCAAAAAGCCAGUCUCAGUUCGNAUUGGGGUCUGCAACUCGACC